This 253-nucleotide ribosomal RNA is filed under the name uncultured bacterium. Its description in RNAcentral is "partial 16S ribosomal RNA". It matches the Rfam family "Bacterial small subunit ribosomal RNA", at positions 524 to 776 of the family's 1533-position model. The record is from RNAcentral.
UACGGAGGGUGCGAGCGUUGUCCGGAAUCACUGGGCGUAAAGCGCACGUAGGCGGAUUUGUAAGUCAGGGGUGAAAUCCCGGGGCUCAACCUCGGAACUGCCUUUGAUACUGCGAAUCUUGAGUCCGAUAGAGGUGGGUGGAAUUCCUAGUGUAGAGGUGAAAUUCGUAGAUAUUAGGAAGAACACCGGUGGCGAAGGCGGCCCACUGGAUCGGUACUGACGCUGAGGUGCGAAAGCGUGGGGAGCAAACAGG